Molecule: small nuclear RNA, 97 nt
Organism: Myotis lucifugus (little brown bat)
Lineage: Eukaryota; Metazoa; Chordata; Mammalia; Chiroptera; Vespertilionidae
Source: Ensembl
AUACUCACUUCAGCAGCACAUAUACUAAAAUUGGAAUGAUACAAAGAUUAGCAUGGCCCGUGCUCAGGGAUGAAUUUGUGAAGCAUUCCAAAUUUUU